This 373-nucleotide long non-coding RNA is filed under the name Vigna radiata. RNAcentral's name for it is "long non-coding RNA (VRAD_LNC013360)". Lineage: Eukaryota; Viridiplantae; Streptophyta; Magnoliopsida; Fabales; Fabaceae. The record is from RNAcentral.
UAAAAUAUGUAGGGCCCAAAUUUUGUGAGACACAUGUCCAACCCUAGGGAUUUAGGGUGGACCCCACCCUCUCAUUUAGAGACACAUGGCUUCUUAGGAAUUGAUAUGAUAUAGCCGUCACACUUUGGGGGGGGCACCACAUUCUUCUCGGGAUUCAUUUUUUUUUAGGGCUGCAACAUUCUGUAGGGGGACUCUUCUUUCUCUUGAAACCAUGAUUUUGUUUCUUGAUUUUGGGUGAAUGAAAAAUAAGGGCACAACCGCCACUUGUUACGGGCCAAUUUCUUUUGCAUUUGAUUUUUUUUCUUUAUUUUGAGAUGAACCCUUGAACAUUUGCACGAUGAUCACUAUGGGAUGAAUUUUAUUUAGCAUGAUU